GAACCAGACCGCUCUGCCUCCCGCAGCUCCACCCUGCCCGAGCUCCCCUCACCCCCGCAAGCCGCCUCGCCGGCGACCCCACACCUCCGCCGCGCCCCGCCGCUGGAGCUCCGGCCGCUCCGCCGCCUCGCCCCUCUCCUCCUUCCUCUUGAUCUCCUCUCAUCUCUGUCUCUCUUUCUCGCUGAACAGGGACCUCCAGGAGGGCCAUGGCGCCACCAGCCUUCAAUCUCGCCGGAUCCGGCCGCCUGCACGCCAAGUCCGCCGGAAAUGGAUCCGUCCCGUCCAGAUCCGGCCGGAUCCGACCGAGCCCCGCCAUCCUCGCCACUGGAGCACCUCCCCGCUCGACCAACAGCGCCGGCGCUGUCUGUCCCUGCCCGCGUCUGCACGAGGACGACGCUCAUCCUGCUGGCUUGCAGCACUCGUAUGGGCCGCCGCCCCAGCCGUCCCGGCAUCAAGCUAAGGCCCAUCCCAAGCCACAUCUUCUGCCGCUCCGUCACCGCCCACCUUGAGAUCAGCCCCGACGCCACCACCAUCUUCAGAUGCGUAUGCACACUACUUCCUUCUUCAAAUUGCUUCACCACAUCAUGCUGAAUUUGCAAAUGGCAGCUCCUUACAUGUGUGAUCGAGAAGCAAGGUCAAGUAUGAGCAGGCUGUCAGCGUGCAGUGGUCGGAGAUGCCGUCGCAACUUACAUGUCGCAUCCGUCGGCUCCAUGCUAAGAUUACGAGGCUCUAUGUCUGUAUCGUGGUGUUCCAGUAGUAAACUUUCAGGCUGGUUAUAUAGGGGAUGGAGAUGAUGUAUACUACCUAACAGCCAUCGAGUAAUAAAAGGAGAUGGAUUGAACUACAUGAUUUAUGCCAUGGGAAUGAUGAAAAAUCUUUGGGUGAGGAUGUUGAAUAAUUCAGUCCUGAUCAAUGGCUUCUCAUAGAAGUCUUCCUGCCAGCAAGAGAGCCCUUACAGAUUUAUAGCUUUUAGUGUAAUUAUUACAGAGAAGACAUGCUUAGAUGGCCUAUAAUUUUACUAAGUGAACGUGUACUGAUCUCUACAUGCUUUUUAUUAGAGAAUCGCUUUCAUGUUUUACUAAGAUCUGUGCGGAAACAACAUGAGCCUUUGCUGCUUGGUCUGGGAUGGUGAAGUGUUGGUUGCAGUGGAAAUCAUUAAAGGGGGCACCGGUGUCUUCAGUUCUACGGUUACAGAAUAUAUGGAGUCAUGCCCAACGUUGCAAGGGAGCCUGUAGUGGGAGGCGACAAAGUAUUGGUUGUUGCCAUAGUAUCCAUAAUGAAUUGUGUCAACACCAACCUCAGAGCUGGAACAAGGAGUGCGCAUUCGCAUUGAUAAAACAAGUUUCCCAUAGCCCGCUGCUACUGCCCACUACCACAAUCUAGCAUAGAUACUUGUGAGCACGUGAGAACAUCUGUAGGCUAAUAAACAGUACAAACACCAGGCUUAGUUUCGGAGUACAUAUAUUGCAUCGACUGGUAUGACGUCUGAAUAUAUAUCUGACUAGAGCCAUCAUAUGGACAAGUAAAUCUUUGUAGCAGUCUGUUGGAUAAUUAUUGGAGAUGAUGCACUCUGAUGGACAGAUACAGAAAUCCAUUGUUAUUUUCAGGUGAAAAUCUUGCACAUAUCUAUGUUGAAACCAGCCAUUGAUGUCCCCAAAAUUCACUAUACCAAGUACAACAAUAUAUAUUCAUUAGGGGGGGCAUUAUUUUGAUCCUGCUUUUCAUGGAGAGCAUGCCUCUGUAUUCAUUUACCAAAUCUGCUUAUGUACAAUUCUUCGCACGUAGUACAGUUGUGCCCAUAAAAUUCAGUUCUUCGAUUGGAUUAUGUAAAAUGGGAUGAUCAACCAAAUAACAUUGGACCAAGUGGCUUAUGUUGAGUGUAUCGGUAAGGUAGAUGCCUAUAUUAAUUCAUACAAAGAUCAUUACUGAUAAUGAUAUGAUUGGUAAUACAUUCAUGACUACUCUAUGUUGCCUUGGCACAUGCAAGCCAUGCUAUAGAAACCGAAACUUGCAAAACAGAGUGAAGUAAAUUACUUUGAAUUGUUAGACACAAUCAAGAUCAUCACCAAGAGUCGUCAAAGAACAUAGAAAAUAGUAAAAUUAGUGUUAUUUAAAUUUGGCCUUAUUUUGCUAUAAGCAAUAAAAAUCAAGCAUACAAUAGUUGUCUAGUGAUAAUUCUUUGGUAUUUCUAAGGCCGGCAGUGGCACGGGAGGUGUCGUUGGUGCCACGGGCUAGACACAAACUUGAUUAGAUUGCUACUGCAUUGCUGAUCUGUACCUCUAGGAAUGUUUUGCUGAUCAUGUCAACCUACAGGCUAGCAAUUUGAAGAGACAGUUGCACAGAUAUUGGCAUAUACAGUCCCGUAGAUUCCGCCAGUGAACAUAUAAAAACAGCAUGUCCGUGAAUCUAAAUAAACUAUAGCAGUGAAUUAUUGAUGAUGUAUAACCUCAUUUGCAUCUAGCUUUCAUCCAGCAUUUUUUAUUUAUUUUAUCAAACAUCUUUGUAAGCAUCUGUUGGGCCAGCCCAAGUAGACAGAACAAUAUAAUAGUGUAAAAGACACCGUGCUCAUAUUAUGAUAUGGUGUUAGGUUUACUUGCCUACAAGUUUGGUUCCACUUGGUACGGACACCAUGCUCUGCUAUCAGCGUAUUUGUAGUAUCAGGGUAUUGUUACUACCUUGAAUGCUGAAUUUAAGGUUGACUGAUCAUGUAUUAGUCUGACUCCCUUCUGAAUUAUGAGGUCAUCCCAUGGUUGUCCACUAAUCUGGUGUUUGGUCCAUCUUCUUACCCUUGCAAUUUUAGCAUCAUCUGUCCAAUCUUGCCCUGACUGUGUACAGACUGUUGAAUACUUCAAACAAUGAGCAAUUUGAAGUUAAGAAAUAUGACAAAUAUCUAAAAAUGGAUUCGUUUUUGGAGAAAUGACAUUGUGUAGAGUGGAAAUGCAGAACUAUAUGUUCCUAUUUCACCAACUGGUAUUGAAUAUGUGGUCAAUCUUCGUAGAAAAAACUACAAUGUCUAAACAUUAGUGUGUGAUACAUAUGGAAAAUUGUGAUGUCUAUUUUUUUGAAAUAUUUUUACUUUAGAAAAAGUUUUAAACAGGGCAUUGCAUUAGGUUACAUAUUUUUGGCCAAGACGCUCCAUGAGGCGAUGGCACAUAGCCGGCAAGGUGACGUUCUAAAGCGCACCAGCCCGCAACUGAGGCGGCGCCCACGGCGCAGCCGUGGCCUUUGGAACGCACCGCGGGGGCAGUGCUACCGGCCACCAGCGCUGCUCCUCCCAGACGGUGGUGCCCAUGGCCGUGGUCCACUGGCCCCAGCCGGGCUCCCUGCGGAGGCGCGCGGGUGGCGGCCUCUGACUUGAAGUCUUCUUGAGAUUUGUACGCCGAUUGCUUGGUCGUCUCUUUGUGCUGUCACUACGUGUACUGAAGAUUAGUUACUUCGUUUUGACUUGGAGCGAGGUGCAAUGGUUUCAGGUUGCUGAUGCUGAUAUUUUCAUGUGAUGUUUGAAUGAUUGUGUGACCAAGCGUAGUUGGGCUUCUAACAAUGUAUUGGCCUUCCUUUGCUGCACCAAAGUUAGUGAAUUGUUCACCAUGCUUGACUUUGUUCUUAGCAGGGAAAUUUGUGGUGAUUCGUAAUCAAACUUGCAAAGAACAUCCUUACUUCUGAUUAUGUUUGAAGAGGUACGAUGGAUGGUUGAGCUGAGACCACUGUUUGAUAUUUGUUUGCCUUUGCUUUGUAACCAGUGAGGGCUGAAGUGAAUGAAUCUGGAAGUGCUUUAGCGAUUAAUGCUCUGUCCCAAGUUAAGCAUAUUCUACUUCCGGUCACUGGCCGCAAGCCUUAACUUUCAGUUCUAAUUCCUUGAGAUCAGCGCAGUUGUGAAUAUAGCCAUUGUUUCAACAGAACAAACCUAAGCUUAGCAUGAAAGAGAGUAUGAAAGUUCUGAUCUCUUCAAAAUAUGUGAGGGACCUUGCUACCUUAGUUGUUGCAUAUGGCAUUAGAAUCAAUUUUGUGUAAGUCACAUGGAAAUCGAAGCUCAAGGCACAGUUUCCCAGUCCAAACGAGCACUCAUCUUUCAUGGGUGAUUUCUCUACCGCAACUGGAUUUGCAACUUUCAUGAUGAUGCUGUUAGGCUGGAUUAUAUUCCAAAGAUUUGGUUGGGGGUGGCUUCCAUGAUCACCCCCAUAGUUUUGUGGUGACUGGCGUUGGUUUCUUCUCUGACUUUCAACAAUUGCAGUUCAUUGCCGCAGAGCAGUCUUAGAAGAUCAGUGCACAUGUAGCCUUAUUUCUGAGUCCAAAUUUCAUCGUACAAAAAGAAAUACUCAGUGUAACCUCAUUUCUGAUGUUUGCAAAAAAUAGAUUAUAAAAAUGUUGCAUAAUGGCACGUGAAGCAGGUUACAUUUCAUUUUUUGCCCGGUGCAACGCAUAGGCAUUUGUACUAGUGUGUAUCAAAACAUAGAUGUA
Long non-coding RNA from Triticum dicoccoides, 4458 nucleotides. RefSeq lists it as uncharacterized. The transcript is spliced from 5 exons. The record is from RefSeq and is a predicted model, not a curated record. NCBI's taxonomy places the organism in Eukaryota, Viridiplantae, Streptophyta, Magnoliopsida, Poales, Poaceae.